This 253-nucleotide ribosomal RNA is filed under the name uncultured bacterium. Its description in RNAcentral is "partial 16S ribosomal RNA". It matches the Rfam family "Bacterial small subunit ribosomal RNA", at positions 524 to 776 of the family's 1533-position model. The record is from RNAcentral.
UACGAAGGGGGCUAGCGUUGUUCGGAAUUACUGGGCGUAAAGCGCACGCAGGCGGAUUUAUAAGUCAGGGGUGAAAUCCCGGGGCUCAACCUCGGAAUUGCCUUUGAAACUGUAUAGCUUGAGUCCGGGAGAGGUGAGUGGAAUUCCUGGUGUAGAGGUGAAAUUCGUAGAUAUUAGGAAGAACACCAAUGGCGAAGGCUGCUCACUGGCCCAGUACUGACGCUCAGGUGCGAAAGCGUGGGGAUCAUACAGG